Molecule: long non-coding RNA, 372 nt
Organism: Oxyura jamaicensis (ruddy duck)
Lineage: Eukaryota; Metazoa; Chordata; Aves; Anseriformes; Anatidae
Exons: 3
Source: RefSeq, a predicted model, not a curated record
UUAAUAAUUUCCCCUCCUCCCCCUUUGCGCUCAGUCAGUGACAGACCUGGCUCCUUUCACGCUUUGUCCUCCCUCUUUCUUUCGUUCUUGCUCGCGCUCCCUCUCUCUCUCUUUUUUAUCUUCCUUCCUUUUCCUACUCCUUGUUUCUUUCUCUCCCUGGCUUUUGUGCAGGGGGCCGUGACGAAUGGCUCAGAAAAGAGGGUGCUGUGAGAAACUGGAGCUGCGCUGGCGGAGUGGGUGCUCUUUCAUCAUCUGCCUGCCUCCCUCCAGCUUCCCCGUGGUUCCUCCAAGGCUCCUUUGUGGCUGUAAUCAAAGCCUGAAAUCCAGCUUGAAUCACACGAAGCACAGAGUGUGAGCAGCCCAGCACCACGG